GAUGAACGCUGGCGGCGUGCCUAAUACAUGCAAGUCGAGCGAACGGACGAGAAGCUUGCUUCUCUGAUGUUAGCGGCGGACGGGUGAGUAACACGUGGAUAACCUACCUAUAAGACUGGGAUAACUUCGGGAAACCGGAGCUAAUACCGGAUAAUAUUUUGAACCGCAUGGUUCAAAGGUGAAAGACGGUCUUGCUGUCACUUAUAGAUGGAUCCGCGCUGCAUUAGCUAGUUGGUAAGGUAACGGCUUACCAAGGCAACGAUGCAUAGCCGACCUGAGAGGGUGAUCGGCCACACUGGAACUGAGACACGGUCCAGACUCCUACGGGAGGCAGCAGUAGGGAAUCUUCCGCAAAGGGCGAAAGCCUGACGGAGCAACGCCGCGUGAGUGAUGAAGGUCUUCGGAUCGUAAAACUCUGUUAUUAGGGAAGAACAUAUGUGUAAGUAACUGUGCACAUCUUGACGGUACCUAAUCAGAAAGCCACGGCUAACUACGUG
RNAcentral lists this ribosomal RNA (497 nucleotides) under uncultured bacterium. RNAcentral's name for it is "partial 16S ribosomal RNA". It matches the Rfam family "Bacterial small subunit ribosomal RNA", at positions 28 to 507 of the family's 1533-position model. The record is from RNAcentral.